UACGUAGGGUGCAAGCGUUGUCCGGAAUUAUUGGGCGUAAAGAGCUCGUAGGCGGUCUGUCACGUCGGCUGUGAAAACCCGAGGCUCAACCUCGGGCCUGCAGCCGAUACGGGCAAACUAGAGUACUGCAGGGGAGACUGGAAUUCCUGGUGUAGCGGUGAAAUGCGCAGAUAUCAGGAGGAACACCGGUGGCGAAGGCGGGUCGCUGGGCAGUAACUGACGCUGAGGAGCGAAAGCGUGGGGAGCGAACAGG
This 253-nucleotide ribosomal RNA is filed under the name uncultured bacterium. Its description in RNAcentral is "partial 16S ribosomal RNA". It matches the Rfam family "Bacterial small subunit ribosomal RNA", at positions 524 to 776 of the family's 1533-position model. The record is from RNAcentral.